Molecule: transfer RNA, 76 nt
Filed under: Chloroflexota bacterium
Lineage: Bacteria; Bacillati; Chloroflexota
Also listed under: 2 other names
Description: tRNA-His
Rfam family: tRNA
About the family: Transfer RNA (tRNA) molecules are approximately 80 nucleotides in length. Their secondary structure includes four short double-helical elements and three loops (D, anti-codon, and T loops).
Source: RNAcentral
GUGAGUGUAGCCCAGCGGUUAAGGCGCCAGGUUGUGGCCCUGGAGAUCGAGGGUUCAAAUCCCUCCACUCACCCCA